Molecule: ribosomal RNA, 443 nt
Filed under: uncultured bacterium
Lineage: Bacteria
Description: partial 16S ribosomal RNA
Rfam family: Bacterial small subunit ribosomal RNA
Source: RNAcentral
CCUACGGGAGGCAGCAGUGGGGAAUAUUGGGCAAUGGGCGCAAGCCUGACCCAGCAACGCCGCGUGAAGGAAGACGGCCCUCGGGUUGUAAACUUCUUUUAUCAGGGACGAAGCAAGUGACGGUACCUGAUGAAUAAGCCACGGCUAACUACGUGCCAGCAGCCGCGGUAAUACGGAGGUGGCAAGCGUUAUCCGGAUUUACUGGGUGUAAAGGGCGUGUAGGCGGGAAAGCAAGUCAGAUGUGAAAACCAUGGGCUCAACCUGUGCCCUGCAUUUGAAACUGUUUGUCUUGAGUACUGGAGAGGCAGGCGGAAUGCCUGGUGUAGCGGUGAAAUGCGUAGAUAUUAGGAGGAACACCAGUGGCGAAGGCGGUCUGCUGAACAGCGACUGACGCUGAGGCGCGAAAGCGUGGGGAGCAAACAGGAUUAGAUACCCCUGUAGUC